Molecule: long non-coding RNA, 1631 nt
Organism: Halichondria panicea
Lineage: Eukaryota; Metazoa; Porifera; Demospongiae; Suberitida; Halichondriidae
Exons: 5
Source: RefSeq, a predicted model, not a curated record
AACUACUUGUCCCAACGGAAUGCUUGGAAUGUAGUGUGUGCAUGAAUGCGUGGGAGAUAUCUAAACCACAACAUUGCACACUAAGCAUAAAUUUUUAUUAUAAUUGUGAGUAUUAAUGUACAGUUGCAGUAUAAAUUUUAUGUCUACUUGCUGUUUGGAUAUAAGUUGUCUAUCAGUACUUCUCCAAUGAAGCAAUUCUAAAGUUGCUAUAACCUGGAUGGCUACAAGGCCACUGCAAAAAUAACAGACAGAAGUAGCAGAGAUGCAGAGAUAUAUUUGUCUCUCUGCCAACUGGUUUAUGGAAAGUCCCUUUGCUUUGCCCUAUUGCCAGCAACAUUUGAGUUUCUAUUUUACAGCGGUAUCAUUGCCACAGACAGGACAAGAACUAGGUACAUCCAGGUGACAGCUAGCUCCAGACUUGGACAUAGUUUUGCAGCAGUUGACCUGUGAUUGAAAUGAAGUUUGUAUACCGUCUGCUCCAUAAUCAACUAUGCCACCCACAGUCACUGCAGGGUCGACCCCUGGGGCAGCCAGACGAGACCCUAUAAUUUGAUUUUGUUUUUCAGCUUCUAUUCUGUCUUGGAGUAGAGGGAGUGCAAUCACAGACAGUAACAACACUCCAAUCGAGCCAGUAAAGAUUGUCAAUACCACUUCAAAAGAUAGAAGUGACCCAACUAUACUUCAUCCAACUUCUGUUCUAGGAAGGACAACCCAGUGCUGUUGCAUUCUCGCCCUGUCAAGAGGGCAGCUGGUUCAAUCUGUGAGGGAGAGAGACCUGCCAAGAAACCUAAAGAUCACUCCACUCCCUCGCUAGACAGAUUCCUCACUCGUCAAGAACAUCCGGUGGUUGCUAGGAGCAGUCAAAAUAUCCCCUCCCUAGACGCAAGAUUUGAGGUGGAGAAGAUUGCCAGACGAAACAAGCUACUAUGGGAACGGUAUCAUAAUGAUAAUCUCAAAUGCUCCUGAUAUGUUUUUGUACACUGACAAAGAGUCACUUUUGUCUAUAGUUUGUCGGAAACGUCGGAAGUAACAAGAGCUCAAGAUGAACAGUGCCUUAAUAGAACAUUAUUAAAAGACACUAGCUCUGUGGACUCUCAAGAUUGUUUUCAGGUUAUUUGCAAUAUUGAUGAAUGAGCUUUUUCUUAAUUUGUACAUUGAGCAGCUUAAAAUACACGCAUGUAUACAAUUACAUGCAUGUAAGUACAUGUACAUGCAUGUAGUAUAUGAGCCCAUAUUUGCUAAUGAGAUUGGUAUGCUAAUUCUCUAGAGCAUAUAGCUGACAAUAAGUAUGUGGUAAGUAAUGAGACCACUUCCUGCAUGGUACACGCCUGAAGCUACUAGUCUAUCAUCUGGUGAGGCUGCUAUGGUGAUGGGGGGACUCAUCACCUGUAUCAAACGACGUAAACAGAAAGAGAUACAUAGUAACAGUGUGGAUGAAUACAAUCAUGGAUUCACAGAAAGAGAAUUAGACAAUCCAGCCUACGAAAACUUUCACGAUGAACUAUCAAAUUCUGUUACCUAGAACAACGAAAAUUGGAACAGAUCUAGGCCUACAUAUUAUUAUUUUUUCAACCCAUAUACGUUGUGAAAACUACCUUGUUUCUUAUUCAAAAAAAUGUGUGUAGAAUCUA